AAGUCGUAACAAGGUUUCCGUAGGUGAACCUGCGGAAGGAUCAUUAACAAACACAACAAACACUUGGCUGGAGCGUGUCUUGCUUUUGCUUUGCUUUUCUUUAGCAAUAAAGCAAAAGUAAAGUAAGCAAGAUGCGCGCUGUGCCAUCAACCUUUGUGAAUCGGGCGCAUGGUGGGCAGCAGUUCAGCAAUGAGCUGUUGUUGCCUUGCGCUUAGUCGGGAGUGGAGUGGAAUGGAAUAGAAGAGAAAAGAAUGGAAUGUAUUUUAUUAUAUAAUAUAUUACAAUUCAUUCUACUAUAUUCUAUUUUGUUUUGUUUUAUUUUAUUUAUUCAAGUCUGAAUUCUUUGUCGAAAGACUAAGCAACAAUACAAUGCAAUACAACUUUUAACAAUGGAUCUCUAGGCUCUU
This 407-nucleotide unclassified non-coding RNA is filed under the name fungal sp. RNAcentral's name for it is "partial internal transcribed spacer region". The stretch from base 1 to 46 matches the Rfam family "Eukaryotic small subunit ribosomal RNA", at positions 1786 to 1831 of the family's 1831-position model. The record is from RNAcentral. Lineage: Eukaryota; Fungi.